Chinchilla lanigera (long-tailed chinchilla) is the source of this 629-nucleotide long non-coding RNA. RefSeq lists it as uncharacterized. The transcript is spliced from 3 exons. Lineage: Eukaryota; Metazoa; Chordata; Mammalia; Rodentia; Chinchillidae. The record is from RefSeq and is a predicted model, not a curated record.
GCCUACAGAGUAAGACAGAACACAGACUGUGUCUCAUGCUCCUCUGAAUCUGCUACAUAGCAAGUUCUCGCAGGAAAUAGAGAACUCAAGAUGACUAAAGGGGCCCAGGAAACAGAAACAAGGCCAGGUCUUCCAGGGCUCCUGAUUCCCAGUGCAGGUCCUCAGGUGCUCCUCAGAGUCCGCUCCAUGCCAGGGGUGGGGGAGUAUAUGUCCUGCCAAAAUGAGCACCAUUUCUUGACUCUUUCCAAGAACGGAGACUGGCAACAGCAUCCCUGCCUUAGUUUCCAGCAUGACAUCAACUGGGACAAAGGAUCAGGUGCUUCAUCUGGACAGGGAGCGAUCACAUCUGGUCCCAGCAUACUUACCAUUCUCUGCUGCCCCCAGCCCUGCUGAUCUGCUCCUUUAGAUGACCUGCUCGAUCUUAGAAGGUGUGUCUACAGCCCUAGUUUCGACCACUUUGGUCUGAGUCCCCUGUAUAAGGAGGUACGACCCUCCUGCCCUGAGAGCACCUCCCCUGCUAAGCUCACCCACAUCAGCUUCUCUGCCCAUCUGUUUUCUCAGCCCAGCCCACAAGUAUUAGGAAAGAUGAGUUGCUGCUCCCAAACCUCCCUGGACCACCAGCUCAGCCC